ACGCACGCUGGCGGCGUGCUUCACACAUGCAAGUCGCACGGAAAGGCCCUGCUUUUGUGAGGUGCUCGAGUGGCGAACGGGUGAGUAACACGUGAGUAACCUGCCCUUGACUUUGGGAUAACUUCAGGAAACUGGGGCUAAUACCGGAUAGGAGCUCCUGCUGCAUGGUGGGGGUUGGAAAGUUUCGGCGGUUGGGGAUGGACUCGCGGCUUAUCAGCUUGUUGGUGGGGUAGUGGCUUACCAAGGCUUUGACGGGUAGCCGGCCUGAGAGGGUGACCGGCCACAUUGGGACUGAGAUACGGCCCAGACUCCUACGGGAGGCAGCAGUGGGGAAUAUUGCACAAUGGGCGGAAGCCUGAUGCAGCAACGCCGCGUGCGGGAUGACGGCCUUCGGGUUGUAAACCGCUUUCGCCUGUGACGAAGCGUGAGUGACGGUAAUGGGUAAAGAAGCACCGGCUAACUACGUG
RNAcentral lists this ribosomal RNA (467 nucleotides) under uncultured bacterium. Its description in RNAcentral is "partial 16S ribosomal RNA". It matches the Rfam family "Bacterial small subunit ribosomal RNA", at positions 29 to 507 of the family's 1533-position model. The record is from RNAcentral.